GACGAACGCUGGCGGCGUGCCUAAUACAUGCAAGUCGAACGCAGUGGGGACGGGUGAGUAACACGUGGGUAACCUCCCCUCAGAGGGGAUAACACUUGGAAACAGGUGCUAAACCGAUACUGAUGGAUGGACCCGCGGUGCAUUAGCUAGUUGGUGAGGAAACGGCUCACCAGGGCCACGAUGCAUAGCGGACCUGAGAGGGGGCUCGGCCACAAUGGGACUGAGACACGGCACAGAAUCCUACGGAGGGGAGCAGGAGGGAAGCUUCGGCAAUGGAAGAAAGUCUGAACGAGCAACGCCGCGUGAGUGAAGAAGGUUUUCGGAUCGUAAAACUCUGUUGUUAGAGAAGCGGUAUCUAACCAGAAAGCCACGGCUAACUACGUGCCAGCAGCCGCGGUAAUU
This 402-nucleotide ribosomal RNA is filed under the name uncultured bacterium. RNAcentral describes it as "partial 16S ribosomal RNA". It matches the Rfam family "Bacterial small subunit ribosomal RNA", at positions 28 to 525 of the family's 1533-position model. The record is from RNAcentral.